Molecule: ribosomal RNA, 575 nt
Filed under: uncultured bacterium
Lineage: Bacteria
Description: bacterial SSU rRNA
Rfam family: Bacterial small subunit ribosomal RNA
Source: RNAcentral
GAUUCGAGAAGAACCUUACCACGACAUCACAUCCUUAUGAUGUAGUCGUAAUGGUUUAUUUCCUUCGUGGCUUAGGAGACAGGUGGUGCAUGGUCGUCGUCAGCUUGGUUCGUGUAGAGGUUGGGUUAAGUGGCGCAAGGAGCGCAACGCCUUGCUUACUAGUAGCCUUCAGGUAGAUUUGGGCACUCUAGUGAGACUGCCGUGGAAAACACGGAGGAAGGUGGAGGAUGACGUCAAAUCAUCAUGCCCUUUAUGUCUUGGGCAACACACGUGCUACAAUGGACGUAACAAAGAGAAGCAAAGCCGCGAGGUGGAGCAAAACUCAAAAAAGCAGUCUCAGUUCGGAUUGUAGUCUGAAACUCGACUACAUGAAGUUGGAAUCGCUAGUAAUCUCGGAUCAGAAUGCCGAGGUGAAUACGUUCCCGGGCCUUGUACACACCGCCCGUCACACCAUGAGAGGUCAGAGCGCCAGAAGCCUGUGGUCUAACUACGGAGGAAGCAGUCGAAGGUAAUAUGAGUGACUAGGGUGAAGUCGUAACAAGGUAGCCGUAUCGGAAGGUGCGGCUGGAUCACCU